This 495-nucleotide ribosomal RNA is filed under the name uncultured bacterium. RNAcentral describes it as "partial 16S ribosomal RNA". It matches the Rfam family "Bacterial small subunit ribosomal RNA", at positions 28 to 507 of the family's 1533-position model. The record is from RNAcentral.
GACGAACGCUGGCGGCGUGCCUAAUACAUGCAAGUAGAACGCUGAAGGAGGAGCUUGCUUCUCUGGAUGAGUUGCGAACGGGUGAGUAACGCGUAGGUAACCUGCCUGGUAGCGGGGGAUAACUAUUGGAAACGAUAGCUAAUACCGCAUAAUAGUAGAUGUUGCAUGACAUUUGCUUAAAAGGUGCAAUUGCAUCACUACCAGAUGGACCUGCGUUGUAUUAGCUAGUUGGUGGGGUAACGGCUCACCAAGGCGACGAUACAUAGCCGACCUGAGAGGGUGAUCGGCCUCACUGGGAUUGAGACACGGCCCAGACUCCUACGGGAGGCAGCAGUAGGGAAUCUUCGGCAAUGGACGGAAGUCUGACCGAGCAACGCCGCGUGAGUGAAGAAGGUUUUCGGAUCGUAAAGCUCUGUUGUAAGAGAAGAACGAGUGUGAGAGUGGAAAGUUCACACUGUGACGGUAUCUUACCAGAAAGGGACGGCUAACUACGUG